CGGGAUGUGGCGCAGCUUGGUAGCGCACUACGCUGGGGGUGUAGUGGUCGUCGGUUCAAAUCCGACCAUCCCGACCA
This 77-nucleotide transfer RNA is filed under the name Gammaproteobacteria bacterium. Its description in RNAcentral is "tRNA-Pro". It matches the Rfam family "tRNA". From Rfam's summary of the family: Transfer RNA (tRNA) molecules are approximately 80 nucleotides in length. Their secondary structure includes four short double-helical elements and three loops (D, anti-codon, and T loops). Further hydrogen bonds mediate the characteristic L-shaped molecular structure. tRNAs have two regions of fundamental functional importance: the anti-codon, which is responsible for specific mRNA codon recognition, and the 3' end, to which the tRNAs corresponding amino acid is attached (by aminoacyl-tRNA synthetases). tRNAs cope with the degeneracy of the genetic code in two manners: having more than one tRNA (with a specific anti-codon) for a particular amino acid; and 'wobble' base-pairing, i.e. permitting non-standard base-pairing at the 3rd anti-codon position. Lineage: Bacteria; Pseudomonadati; Pseudomonadota; Gammaproteobacteria. RNAcentral also lists the same sequence under 2 other names. The record is from RNAcentral.